Molecule: ribosomal RNA, 505 nt
Filed under: uncultured Methylophilus sp.
Lineage: Bacteria; Pseudomonadati; Pseudomonadota; Betaproteobacteria; Nitrosomonadales; Methylophilaceae
Description: bacterial SSU rRNA
Rfam family: Bacterial small subunit ribosomal RNA
Source: RNAcentral
AGAGCUUGCUCUCUGAUGGCGAGUGGCGAACGGGUGAGUAAUAUAUCGGAACGUGCCUAGUAAUGGGGAAUAACUAACUGAAAGGUUAGCUAAUGCCGCAUACGACCUACGGGUGAAAGCAGGGGAUCUUCGGACCUUGCGUUAUUAGAGCGGCCGAUAUCUGAUUAGCUUGUUGGUGGGGUAAUGGCCUACCAAGGCGACGAUCAGUAGCUGGUCUGAGAGGACGAUCAGCCACACUGGAACUGAGACACGGUCCAGACUCCUACGGGAGGCAGCAGUGGGGAAUUUUGGACAAUGGGGGCAACCCUGAUCCAGCCAUUCCGCGUGAGUGAAGAAGGCCUUCGGGUUGUAAAGCUCUUUCGCAAGAGAAGAAAACUUACUAUUUAAUAAAUAGUAAGUAUGACGGUAUCUUGACAAGAAGCACCGGCUAACUACGUGCCAGCAGCCGCGGUAAUACGUAGGGUGCAAGCGUUAAUCGGAAUUACUGGGCGUAAAGCGUGCGCAG